GCUGUUUGAGGGAAAAGAACACCUGGUUGAGGAAAUGCUUCCAGGCUGACGGUACCCUGUCAGAAAGCGAUGGCUAACUAUGUGCCAGCAGCCGCGGUAAUACAUAGGUCGCAAGCGUUAUCCGGAAUUAUUGGGCGUAAAGGGUUCGUAGGCUGUUUAUUAAGUCUGGAGUCAAAUCCCAGGGCUCAACCCUGGCUCGCUUUGGAUACUGGUAAACUAGAGUUAGAUAGAGGUAAGCGGAAUUCCAUGUGAAGCGGUGAAAUGCGUAGAUAUAUGGAAGAACACCAAAGGCGAAGGCAGCUUACUGGGUCUAUACUGACGCUGAGGGACGAAAGCGUGGGGAGCAAACAGGAU
Molecule: ribosomal RNA, 354 nt
Filed under: Mycoplasmopsis arginini
Lineage: Bacteria; Bacillati; Mycoplasmatota; Mycoplasmoidales; Metamycoplasmataceae
Description: bacterial SSU rRNA
Rfam family: Bacterial small subunit ribosomal RNA
Source: RNAcentral